GACGGAGGGUGCAAUCGUUGUUCGGAAUCACUGGGCGUAAAGCGCGUGUAGGCGGUUUGAUAAGUCGAAUGUGAAAGCCCGAGGCUCAACCUCGGAAGUGCAUUCGAAACUGUCGGGCUUGAGUACGGGAGAGGGAAGUGGAAUUCCUGGUGUAGAGGUGAAAUUCGUAGAUAUCAGGAGGAACACCGGUGGCGAAGGCGGCUUCCUGGACCGAUACUGACGCUGAGACGCGAAAGCGUGGGGAGCAAACAGG
This 253-nucleotide ribosomal RNA is filed under the name uncultured bacterium. RNAcentral's name for it is "partial 16S ribosomal RNA". It matches the Rfam family "Bacterial small subunit ribosomal RNA", at positions 524 to 776 of the family's 1533-position model. The record is from RNAcentral.